Long non-coding RNA from Scylla paramamosain (green mud crab), 2012 nucleotides. RefSeq lists it as uncharacterized. NCBI's taxonomy places the organism in Eukaryota, Metazoa, Arthropoda, Malacostraca, Decapoda, Portunidae. The record is from RefSeq and is a predicted model, not a curated record. The transcript has 2 exons.
AGGCGUGUCUCAUUGAUGUCGACGUUGAUGAUAAGGUGAGUCUUCAGUUCUGGAGCGACGAUUAAGAGAGUGGAGGAUGAAAAGUGAGCGGAACUCGGAGCGAGGCAAGGAGAAAGAUGGUGAGGUGAAGGAACUGGCAUAUGUACAAUGAUUUAUAUCGAUAGGCUGAGUGGCAGGCAUUGAGAGGGAUAGAAGGAGUGGGGUGGAGGAGGAGGAGGAGGAGAAGGAGGAUGAAAGAGGGAGCAUAUGGGUCUGUAGUAAGGGUUUGUGUGCAUCACAACAGUAAAUACCCCGCUGUAAGGAGAACACAAAGAGCAAGAAGAAGAGCAGGAGGAGGAGGAGAGGAAGAAAAAUAGAAAAGGAGAAAAGGGGGAAAAGAAGAGAAGAAAAAGGAGAAGAAGCAAAAGGAGAAAGAGAAGAAUUAAAAGAAGAAAGAGAAAAAGGAGAAAAUAAAGAAUUAAAAGAAAGAGAAGAAGAAGAAGAAGAAGAAAGGAGAAGAAGAAGAAGGAGAAGAAGAAGAAGAAGAAGAAGAAGAAGAAGAAGAAGAAGAAGAAGAAGAAGAAGAAGAAGAAGAAAUAGAAGAAGGAAAAGAAGAAAGAGAAGAAGGAAAAGAAGGAAAGGAAGAAGAAGAAGAAGAAGAAGAAGAAGAAGAAGAAGAAGAAGAAGAAGAAGAAGGUCACAAUGAAGACUAGAAGAAGGAGGAGAAGGAUGACCAUGAAAAUUAUACAACUGAAAAAUAAUGAUGACGAUGGUGAUGAAUAAUAAGAUGAAGAGGAAACAAGAACAAGAUGAAAGAAGAGAAAAAAGAACAUAGAAAGAAGAAGAAGAAGAAGAAGAGGUGAUACUGGCGGUAGCGUUGGCGGUGGGCAAGUGAGCAAGGGAAGAGAAGAGGCACUUGGAGGAGGAAGAGGAGGAGGAGGAGGAGGAAGGGGAGUUGGUUGGAUGGCAAAAGAUGUCUGGUCAGUAAACACGGGCCGAGAAAGUCCUCGCUGGGAGAGUAGUUUGAAAGGCUGUAAAGUUUUUCUAUCGAGGGGGAGGACGGAGAGACAGAGGCGUAGCAAGACUAUGAGGAAUAAACGAGACGGACGAGGAGAAGGAGAGGGAGGGAGGAGUAGGAGAGGACCCGCUACCCACUACCCACUACCACAACCCCAAGGCAACAGUUCCGCAGGAUAUUUCGGGUCGGCAGUAAUUGGUGGAGGGAAGGCUGGUCGUAGCGGAGUCAGGCAGAGUUUGGUUCUGGAGAGUCUCUUGCGUAUGUUUUUUUUCUUUUUUCAGCCUCUCAUCUUAUCCUCUGCGGGUGUCUUGCGUCGAGGCCUGACAGACGGGGCAAGCGAGAUGGAGCAGUCACUGGCGAAGGAGGCGAUGGAAGAGGAAGAGUAAGAGGUGUAGAAGGAAAAGGAAAGAUAGGGGAGUUUUAAGAGCGCGGUUUUAUGUUCCUUUGCAGUUUCUUUUUUAUUCUGGUGUUGAUUUAAGGGAACGAUUCAGAGAGGAUGAAAGAAAGGUUUUCAAAAUACGCUUUUGUCGCCUACGGGUAAGAAGAGGACUGAAAGAAAUGUGGGGAACAAACACAUGAAAGAAAGAUAUAAGUAAACAUAGAAAAUCCAGAUACCUUGACACAUCGCUGAGGGAGCUUGGGAGUAAUUAGGUGAUUAAGUAUAAACUAGACAGUUAUUAAGUUAAGGAGAAAGAGUUAAAAAUCUUUUCCCUUGUUGUGAAUCAGAGCAUGUUGGAAAGUUAAUCCCAGUUUCAAAUGUAAUUAAUUAACAUUGUAAUUGAGGCAGAUUAACUGGCGUCGUUCUGCUCCUGAGUAUUACCUUCAGUUAGGCCAGAAUAUAGAAAAAAAAAACAGUAGAUAGAACGUCAAUUUCCCCCCAAAAAAUAAAUGGUUAGAGAAAUUAGAAACAUGUACGAAAAAAAGAAAGAAAACAUUGUGACACAUGAAAACGGAACUCAAAACAAGAAAAAGAUGGUAAAACAAAUUCCAGAAGACUAAUGUGAAAGGACGUCCC